CCUACGGGGGGCAGCAGUGGGGAAUAUUGGACAAUGGGCGAAAGCCUGAUCCAGCCAUGCCGCGUGUGUGAAGAAGGCCUUCGGGUUGUAAAGCACUUUCAGUGGGGAAGAAAGCCUUGGGGCUAAUACCCUCGAGGAAGGACAUCACCCACAGAAGAAGCACCGGCUAACUCCGUGCCAGCAGCCGCGGUAAUACGGAGGGUGCGAGCGUUAAUCGGAAUUACUGGGCGUAAAGCGCGCGCAGGCGGUCUGAUAAGCCGGUUGUGAAAGCCCCGGGCUCAACCUGGGAACGGCAUCCGGAACUGUCAGGCUAGAGUGCAGGAGAGGAAGGUAGAAUUCCAGGUGUAGCGGUGAAAUGCGUAGAGAUCGGGAGGAAUACCAGUGGCGAAGGCGGCCUUCUGGACUGACACUGACGCUGAGGUGCGAAAGCGUGGGUAGCAAACAGGAUUAGAUACCCCUGUAGUC
Molecule: ribosomal RNA, 465 nt
Filed under: Vreelandella stevensii
Lineage: Bacteria; Pseudomonadati; Pseudomonadota; Gammaproteobacteria; Oceanospirillales; Halomonadaceae
Description: partial 16S ribosomal RNA
Rfam family: Bacterial small subunit ribosomal RNA
Source: RNAcentral